CUACGUGCCAGCAGCCGCGGUAAUACGUAGGGUGCGAGCGUUGUCCGGAAUUACUGGGCGUAAAGGGCUCGUAGGUGGUUUGUCGCGUCGUCUGUGAAAUUCCGGGGCUUAACUCCGGGCGUGCAGGCGAUACGGGCAUAACUUGAGUACUGUAGGGGUAACUGGAAUUCCUGGUGUAGCGGUGAAAUGCGCAGAUAUCAGGAGGAACACCGAUGGCGAAGGCAGGUUACUGGGCAGUUACUGACGCUGAGGAGCGAAAGCAUGGGUAGCGAACAGGAUUAGAUACCCUGGUAGUCCAUGCCGUAAACGGUGGGCGCUAGGUGUGAGGGUCUUUUCACGACUUUCGUGCCGUAGCUAACGCAUUAAGCGCCCCGCCUGGGGAGUAUGGCCGCAAGGCUAAAACUCAAAGGAAUUGACGGGGGCCCGCACAAGCGGCGGAGCAUGUGGAUUAAUUCGAUGCAACGCGAAGAACCUUACCUGGGCUUGACAUACACUGGAUCGCUGCAGAGAUGUAGUUUCCCUUUGUGGCUGGUGUACAGGUGGUGCAUGGUUGUCGUCAGCUCGUGUCGUGAGAUGUUGGGUUAAGUCCCGCAACGAGCGCAACCCUUGUCUUAUGUUGCCAGCAUUUGGUUGGGGACUCAUGAGAGACUGCCGGGGUCAACUCGGAGGAAGGUGGGGAUGACGUCAAAUCAUCAUGCCCCUUAUGUCCAGGGCUUCACACAUGCUACAAUGGUCGGUACAACGCGCAGCGACACUGUGAGGUGGAGCGAAUCGCUGAAAGCCGGCCUUAGUUCGGAUUGGGGUCUGCAACUCGACCCCAUGAAGUCGGAGUCGCUAGUAAUCGCAGAUCAGCAAUGCUGUGGUGAAUACGUUCCCGGGCCUUGCACACACCGCCCGU
Molecule: ribosomal RNA, 898 nt
Filed under: uncultured bacterium
Lineage: Bacteria
Description: bacterial SSU rRNA
Rfam family: Bacterial small subunit ribosomal RNA
Source: RNAcentral